This 83-nucleotide transfer RNA is filed under the name Sphaerodactylus townsendi. RNAcentral's name for it is "tRNA-Ser". The record is from RNAcentral. Lineage: Eukaryota; Metazoa; Chordata; Lepidosauria; Squamata; Sphaerodactylidae.
GACAAGCUGGCCGAGUGGUCAAGGCUACAGACUGCUAAUCCAAUGUGCUCUUCGUGCAUGGGUUUGAAUCCCACCCCUUGUUG